This 468-nucleotide ribosomal RNA is filed under the name uncultured bacterium. RNAcentral describes it as "partial 16S ribosomal RNA". It matches the Rfam family "Bacterial small subunit ribosomal RNA", at positions 28 to 507 of the family's 1533-position model. The record is from RNAcentral.
GACGAACGCUGGCGGCGUGCUUAACACAUGCAAGUCGAACGGAAAGGCCCUGCUUUUGUGGGGUGCUCGAGUGGCGAACGGGUGAGUAACACGUGAGUAACCUGCCCUUGACUUUGGGAUAACUUCAGGAAACUGGGGCUAAUACCGGAUAGGAGCUCCUGCUGCAUGGUGGGGGUUGGAAAGUUUCGGCGGUUGGGGAUGGACUCGCGGCUUAUCAGCUUGUUGGUGGGGUAGUGGCUUACCAAGGCUUUGACGGGUAGCCGGCCUGAGAGGGUGACCGGCAACAUUGGGACUGAGAGACGGCCCAGACUCCUACGGGAGGAAGCAGGGGGGAAUAUUGAAAAAGGGGCGGAAGCCGGAUGCAGCAACGCCGCGUGCGGGAUGACGGCCUUCGGGUUGUAAACCGCUUUCGCCGGUGAAGAAGCGUGAGUGACGGUAAUGGGUAAAGAAGCACCGGAUAACUACGUG